ACGGCGAGUGAAGCGGUAACAGCUCAAAUUUGAAAUCUGGCCUCACGGUCCGAGUUGUAAUUUGUAGAGGAUGUUUCGAGCAUGGUCUGGCCUAAGUUCCUUGGAACAGGACGUCAUAGAGGGUGAGAAUCCCGUAUGCGGUCAGGUGCCUACGCUCAUGUGAAACUCCUUCGACGAGUCGAGUUGUUUGGGAAUGCAGCUCAAAAUGGGUGGUAAAUUUCAUCUAAAGCUAAAUAUUGGCCAGAGACCGAUAGCGCACAAGUAGAGUGAUCGAAAGAUGAAAAGCACUUUGGAAAGAGAGUUAAACAGUACGUGAAAUUGUUGAAAGGGAAGCGCUUGCAACCAGACUUGCGCGCGGCUGAUCAUCCGGUGUUCUCACUGGUGCACUCGGUCGCGCUCAGGCCAGCAUCGGUUUUGGUGGUUGGAUAAAGGCCUUAGGAAUGUAGCUCCUCUCGGGGAGUGUUAUAGCCUAGGGUGCAAUGCAGCCUACCGGGACCGAGGACCGCGCUUCGGCUAGGA
RNAcentral lists this ribosomal RNA (519 nucleotides) under Pezizomycotina sp. 38268-S3. RNAcentral's name for it is "eukaryotic LSU rRNA". It matches the Rfam family "Eukaryotic large subunit ribosomal RNA", at positions 86 to 611 of the family's 3401-position model. The record is from RNAcentral. Lineage: Eukaryota; Fungi; Ascomycota.